GCAACCCCCCGCCACCACCUUGAGAGGCGCUCGAAGCCAAGGGUCUCGCUGGCUGCCACCUGGGGUGUGGCCGCGCCCCGGUGCCCAGUGGGGCCUGGGGCAAGCCGCGGCCGGGUGCAUUGAGGGGUGACACGUGACACGGCCCGAGGAUGAUGUCAUGAGGGGCUUGGUUACCAUAGCAACAGGCCCAUGACCCCAGGUGGGGACAGGAGGACUUGCUUGGUUUCCAUGGCGAUGGGCCCUUCCCACUGGAGUGCCUGUGACCCGGCAUGAGGUGCUUGGUUACCAUGCCAACGGGCAUAUCACACCUUCUUGCCAUGGUGAUGGACCCAAGUUAUGCACCAAGGCACCCGGUUACCACGGAGAUGGGCCCAUCCCACCCACUUGAAUGGCUGUGACCUGGCCUGAGGUGCUUGGUUACCAUGACAACCGGUGUAUCACACCCUCUCAGGCACUCCAGGGCCAUGCAGUGAUAACACACUCCAUUGCCAUGGUGAGAGGCGCAAGUUACCCAGGCACCUGGUUACCAUGGUGAUGAGCACAGGCUAGUCACCUGUGUUGUCGCCUGAGGCUGUUAACGAUUAUAGCACAGCUGCUAUGGGUCUGGCCAAGACUCCUCCCCUUUCUGCUCUCCAGCCCAGAGGUGGCUGUAUUCCAGCGACACUGCAUGGGCACCUGGUGUGCAGGCUGCUUCUUCACGUGCCAACGUAGGGGGAGUGCAAAUUGUCAACUCUAAGCACUCAAAAAUUUGGAGUCAUGCCUCAAAAUUUGUGAGAUUGGCUUCAAAACCAUCUUUUCAUUUUUUUUUUUAAAUAACACAUUUGGGUUCUUUUCAUUUGCCUUCUCAUGUCUCAGCCUUUCGGCAGCAUGCCAGUCACAUUUUCAAGCUUUUCUCCACAACCACCAGGCCAAGAAACUUUCUAUUUAAAUAAAAGCUGCAGUUCUCCUAUAAUCCCAUGAUUCUGGGAGCUGGUGCUUUAAGACAGACCCCAAAUGUUAUGAGGCUUGUGUGACGGACCCCCCCCCCCAUGCUUUUUGAAAUGGACUCAUGGACAUGAAUAUACAUAACUCAAAGGUGGUUUGAGCAAAUUAUUUCAUGUAACCCAUCAAUCUUCAUGUCAUGAUCUGCUGGUUCUGUUUAUCUUACUCUGUUGUAUGUAUCAUUUGUAUGCGUAAAAUUAGACACAUGGUGUUACAUGCCAACUUCUAGAUGAGCUACUGUUAAACAAUCUUUUGUCCUUAAGUCUGAGCAGUGGUUGGCAAGGAGUGGCCUCAACUCCUUAACAAAAGGAAUGGGAAAGGAGAGGCCUGAGUCUUUUGGCUGGGCAACACCUGAAGAGAGGAGUCAGGGACCUCAGGGUGUGGAAGAGAGCCCUGGUUUGGAGGGACAGCUGGAAAAGAGGCUUUAGGGCAGAAGAUGUGAGUGUGGUGCGCACACCCUGCAUGCUGGCAGAUGGAAACCACAACUGGGCAGCAUGCAGCAGCCUGAUGAAGCUUCCAAGGAGGUUUAAUCCACCAGGUGCUUCCUGCCCCAGCAGUAAUUCUGCUGUACCGAACCUGCACGUAGAGCACAUCCUGAGGCAUCUUGGUCAGAACUGUGAAGUCCCAGUUGGUGAGACUGUGUCCGGAAUGCUGGGAGGACCAAAGGCCGGAGCCCACCUUUUAAAACAGCUGUUGAUAAAUCAGAACACCCUGGAGGAGAUCCACAAAAACGACCCCCAGAGAGGCUGAAUGAAAGAGCGUCAGCUGUUGAGCUUAGCAGAACGCAAGCGAGGUUUCCCACAUAGGGACCACGUUCCCUGCCAUCACACCAGAGUGGAAUACACCUCUCGCUCAGCGCCCUGUAGUGGUCCAGUGAAGAAAAAUCUCCCAAGCACUCAGGUACCUGAGAUGGGACCAGUAUGAAUACCAAGCGAGAAACCUGUGCCUGCCAGGGGCAGAAUCCACCAGCAACAGGAGGAUCUGAGUCCCUCCUGGCCUACAAAGACUUUCCUGUCCCUCUGCAGGUUUCCUGGACAGACUUUACAAAGGCAAAGAUGAAACAUUUUGGGGCCUCUGCGAGAAGCCGUGCCUUUAGCUGGGGACUCACAAGCCUUCAGUGAAGGUAGGUUGGUCUCUUCACAGAGGGGAAAGUGGGGCCUAAGUGAGUUGACCGAAACCUCAGGAAAAGUCAGUGGCAGA
Non-coding RNA from Pelodiscus sinensis (Chinese soft-shelled turtle), 2181 nucleotides. Lineage: Eukaryota; Metazoa; Chordata; Testudines; Trionychidae. The record is from RefSeq and is a predicted model, not a curated record.